This is a long non-coding RNA of Xenopus laevis (African clawed frog), 1215 nucleotides long. RefSeq lists it as uncharacterized. The transcript has 2 exons. NCBI's taxonomy places the organism in Eukaryota, Metazoa, Chordata, Amphibia, Anura, Pipidae. The record is from RefSeq and is a predicted model, not a curated record.
GAAUUUGGAAAAUUUUAUUCAUUUAUCUGAAUAUAACAAUCACCUCUUGCAUCCUUAUAGGCCCCUCCCUUUCUGUAUAGGCCACUCCUCAAACAUGCACAUUUGCAUAAUAUAAAUGUAUCUAGCACUACUGUUGUACCCCGCACUGUACCUGUAUAACUGCAUUUAUAUAGUGGGGGAUACAACUGGGUGGUUGGGCUGCAGAUGGGCCCCCUGUAAAAGAUUUCUACAUAUGGGAGCCAGAGACACACCAUUGUUACAUCACUGAAACUUUGUCAGCUGUGACCCAACAAGACCAAGGAGAAUAAUCAAAGCAUGAUCAGUAUUAGAGAAAUAACAACUUGCUUAUCAGUAAAACUAGGGAUUAGUCAGUCCCCCACAACACAAACAAUCUGGGGAGCAGAAGUGAUUCCAACUCAGGUGCGAGGAGGGAGGGGUGAUGCACCUGAGACAGUUAUAGUAGAAUUUGUGUUUUUACCAGUUUUGUAAAUUUCCAUCAAUGUGGUAGAAUUUGGAUAUGGAUUUUGUUUUAAUGAAAAAGGACCUCAAUGUGACAGACCUGUGACAAGCAUUGGAAAUGUUGAUUUGAUUUCUUUCUAAAUCCUGAAAGAAUUGCAGAGAUAUUCAAGGUUCCAAGACCUUUGGUGGCAGCAGUGGGAUAUUUUAGAACAUACAUCCAGAGGGCAAAGAGCAAUUUGGACCUUUUGUGAACAUACAAAUGGCACCAAUUGUCAUGAAAUGUUUGGUAAGUUUCAUGACAUUUGGAGGCAGCAGUGGGAUCAUUCAGAACAUACAUCCAAAGGACAAAAACAAUUUGGACCUUUUGUGAACACAAACAUGGAGGAAGAAACAGCAACUUCUUCUUUGGGUUCUGCCUUUCUAGCAGAGAUCCUGUGAUGGAUCCAUGUUGGGGCCUGUUCUUUCUGCUGCAGAUCACCUGCACUCAACUGGCUUCUCAGGAGGUCCUGGGCACAAUGCAGCACCACCAAUCACCUGCCUUGGAUUUUUUCAGGAUCCAACCAGAGAUCAGAAUUCUACAAACCAGUGAUCCUACUGAGAAAUGGACCAACUAAUGGAUCAGCCAAUUGGAACCUGCCCCUAGAUGAGUGAGCUGCUGCACUCACACUCACACUAAUGUUGGACUCUGCACUUCAAUUCUGGAAAACUGGUAUUUGUCAUAUAAACAGUCAUUGAAUAUAAAUGUAUUUUUAAGGA